AGUGAACGCUGGCGGUAGGCCUAACACAUGCAAGUCGAACGGCAGCACAGAGGAGCUUGCUCCUUGGGUGGCGAGUGGCGGACGGGUGAGGAAUACAUCGGAAUCUACUCUGUCGUGGGGGAUAACGUAGGGAAACUUACGCUAAUACCGCAUACGACCUACGGGUGAAAGCAGGGGACCUUCGGGCCUUGCGCGAUUGAAUGAGCCGAUGUCGGAUUAGCUAGUUGGCGGGGUAAAGGCCCACCAAGGCGACGAUCCGUAGCUGGUCUGAGAUGAUGAUCAGCCACACUGGAACUGGGACACGGUCCAGACUCCUACGGGAGGCAGCAGUGGGGAAUAUUGGACAAUGGGCGCAAGCCUGAUCCAGCCAUACCUCGUGGGUGAAGAAGGCCUUCGGGUUGUAAAGCCCUUUUGUUGGGAAAGAAAUCCAGCUGGCUAAUACCCGGUUGGGAUGACGGUACCCAAAGAAUAAGCACCGGCUAACUUCGUGCCAGCCGCCGCGGUAA
RNAcentral lists this ribosomal RNA (506 nucleotides) under uncultured bacterium. RNAcentral's name for it is "partial 16S ribosomal RNA". It matches the Rfam family "Bacterial small subunit ribosomal RNA", at positions 29 to 523 of the family's 1533-position model. The record is from RNAcentral.